GAUGAACGCUGGCGGCGUGCCUAACACAUGCAAGUCGAACGGAGUCCAGCCUUUAAGACCUUCGGGUCAAAGAGGGGAAGACUGAGUGGCGGACGGGUGAGUAACACGUGGGCAACCUGGCUCAUAGAGGGGGAUAACAGAGAGAAAUUUCUGCUAAUACCGCAUAAGCACACACUGCCGCAUGGCAGAGGGUGAAAAGAGAAUCGCUAUGAGAUGGACCCGCGUCUGAUUAGCCAGUUGGCAGGGUAAGAGCCUACCAAAGCGACGAUCAGUAGCCGAUCAGAGAGGAUGAACGGCCACAGUGGGACUGAGACACGGCACAAACUCCUACGGGAGGCAGCAGUGGGGGAUAUUGCACAAUGGGGGGAACCCUGAUGCAGCGACGCCGCGUGAGUGAAGAAGUAUUUCGGUAUGUAAAGCUCUAUCAGCAGGGAAGAUAAUGACAGAACCUGAAUAAGAAGCCCCGGCUAACUACGUG
Molecule: ribosomal RNA, 478 nt
Filed under: uncultured bacterium
Lineage: Bacteria
Description: partial 16S ribosomal RNA
Rfam family: Bacterial small subunit ribosomal RNA
Source: RNAcentral